ACCCGAGGCCGGGCAUGCCAGGAGUCAUCCCGCUGUCGUGCCUGAGCGAGACAUCCCCGCUGGAAUUUGUCAGGGAAUGACAAAGUCAUUGAUGCCGACUGCGACGCGGAGCCGCGUGCGCCGGGCCGGGCGGACGAAACAGGUGCUGAAAUGUGAAACCCUACUGAGGGAUUUCCUCGGCAGGCAGCGCGGUGGGAGCACGGAGAGCCGGAGCGGGAUGUUGCUCCCAGGGUUGCCGGAGCGCCGGGAGAGCUGAGCUGUCGCUUUAAGAAAAAAGAAAUUCGGCUCUGAACUACCCAAAACCCUGCCAUUUCCAGCCUGGGCUUGAUUAAUGAUUUUUCUAUCUAAUAAAAGGUUCACAAACCA
Long non-coding RNA from Lonchura striata (white-rumped munia), 366 nucleotides. RefSeq lists it as uncharacterized. The record is from RefSeq and is a predicted model, not a curated record. Lineage: Eukaryota; Metazoa; Chordata; Aves; Passeriformes; Estrildidae.